Molecule: long non-coding RNA, 326 nt
Filed under: Lathyrus oleraceus (garden pea)
Lineage: Eukaryota; Viridiplantae; Streptophyta; Magnoliopsida; Fabales; Fabaceae
Description: Pisum sativum (pea) long non-coding RNA (PSAT_LNC015039)
Source: RNAcentral
AGCAGAGAUUUCAUAUGAAAUGUUUGUGUGUCUUUUAUGUAAACAGUGAUGAGGUUUUAUAGUGUGAGCAAGUGAGCAAAAAGAAAGGGGAAAGAUAAGAAGAGUGAAUAGAAUUGGAGGGAAAUCUUGUGUUAGGGAUUCUAGUGAGAGUUUGCAAUUCGCGUGAAUGAGUGAUUUGGAAGGUUAAUAGGGGUUUAGAUGAAAAGUUUGUUAGAGAGUGUGCUAGUUUGAGAAUAUUUUGUGUUAGUUUGAUGGUAAUUUGGAUGGCAUGGUGAUGCUUGAUGGAUGGAUGGUGAAGGGGAAAGAGUUCACGCGUUCUAUAUUCU